Molecule: long non-coding RNA, 825 nt
Organism: Vicia villosa (hairy vetch)
Lineage: Eukaryota; Viridiplantae; Streptophyta; Magnoliopsida; Fabales; Fabaceae
Exons: 4
Source: RefSeq, a predicted model, not a curated record
CCCCCAUCCUUCCAGCAGACACAUGUGCCCCCAUCCUUCCAGCAGACACAUGUGCCCCCAUCCUUCUGGCAGACCGGAGGAUCUAGUUUUCCACCUCCCACACAGACUGGUCCCUCAUCUUUCCAGCAGACUGGAGGAUCUAGUUUUCCACCUCCCACACAGACUGGUCCCACCCCACAUCCCCCACAUGUGCCCCCACAGGAUGAUGAUUAGGCGGAGGAUGAGACUACGGAGGAUGAGACUGCGGAUGAUCAGUUGGAUGGGAGUGAUCUUCGAGGGGAUGAUGAUCCGAGUCAGAUUCAUAUCAUUGAUGGGAGAUUUUUUAUUAGGCCCGAAGGAAGCUCAUUCACGCCGAGUCGGACUGCUGCCAAAGUUAUAAGUUAUAUAAUUCAGCAGAAUUAUAAAAAGCUUAUAAAGACUUUUAAAGAUGUUAAGGGCGAUGAUAGAGAUCAUUGGUUUGCGAAAUUUCAGGAAAAAUGUGUGUGGGAACCAAUGAAAGAGAGACAGAUUAAAAAAAAUUAUUAUGGCAGAACUGCAAGACGACUUUCUGACAUGCUACGACGUGUUAGAAAGCGUUGGGAACUUCAUGGCAUCCGUCCUAGUUGGAUAGGAGAAGAAAUCUUUCGGGAACUUCUUAAAUAUUGGGAGAGUGAUGAGUUUGCGGCCAAAUCUGAAAAUGCAAAGAAGAUGAGAGCAUCUGAAAAGGGUGGUUGCCUUAAUGCUGUUGGAAGUAUAAGCACUGCUGAGCAUGUUCGUCGCAUGACUAAGGAAUUAAAUAGACCUCCACUUAUGACCGAGCUGGUUGCGAGGACUCGGAAAAAGAAA